AUACACUCUCAAUCUCUCAGUGUUAAUUUAUUUAAGUGGGGAGUGAUGACGGUCACAUCCCUUGUGACACUCUAAGUCUCUCUGGCUCCACUCAUACAGCGCUUUCAGAUCCUGGAUUUAUUCCCCAAGUCCCCUGUCCAAGACUCUGGUACACAGGCGGAGGAAAUCUAGAUACAUCUUCACAAUCUUCUUAAAUUUAUCCUGACAGGUGCUUCUUUUCUUCCUUGCUGCCAGAAGAAGACAGUACAUGUGCUGAGCAUACCCUGGACACUGAUUAGCUAAGUAGUGGCUAUCAAAAGUGACGGAUGAUUUCUGCUGUCUUGCCUCCGACAAACCCGUGCCUCAGUUUUCCAGGCAGAGCAUCAACAACCCGACUUCCCCCUGUGGCUUCCGAGUCCCUGCUCCAGUGUCUCCAACAAGGGAACAUAAUCCCAAGAGGCCACUUCUUCCUCACCCCGCGUUAGAG
Chroicocephalus ridibundus (black-headed gull) is the source of this 466-nucleotide long non-coding RNA. RefSeq lists it as uncharacterized. The record is from RefSeq and is a predicted model, not a curated record. Lineage: Eukaryota; Metazoa; Chordata; Aves; Charadriiformes; Laridae. The transcript is spliced from 3 exons.